AUUGAACGCUGGCGGCAUGCCUUACACAUGCAAGUCGAACGGCAGCACGGGGCAACCUGGUGGCGAGUGGCGAACAGGUGAGUAAUGCAUCGGAACGUACCUUUCAGUGGGGGAUAACGUAGCGAAAGUUACGCUAAUACCGCAUAUUCUGUGAGCAGGAAAGCAGGGGAUCGCAAGACCUUGCGCUGAUUGAGCGGCCGAUGUCGGAUUAGCUAGUUGGUGAGGUAAAGGCUCACCAAGGCGACGAUCUGUAGCGGGUCUGAGAGGAUGAUCCGCCACACUGGAACUGAGACACGGUCCAGACUCCUACGGGAGGCAGCAGUGGGGAAUUUUGGACAAUGGGGGCAACCCUGAUCCAGCCAUGCCGCGUGAGUGAAGAAGGCCUUCGGGUUGUAAAGCUCUUUCGGCCGGGAAGAAAUCGCACGGGCUAAUACCCUGUGUGGAUGACGGUACCGGAAUAAGAAGCACCGGCUAACUACGUGCCAGCAGCCGCCGUAA
Molecule: ribosomal RNA, 498 nt
Filed under: uncultured bacterium
Lineage: Bacteria
Description: partial 16S ribosomal RNA
Rfam family: Bacterial small subunit ribosomal RNA
Source: RNAcentral